RNAcentral lists this non-coding RNA (29 nucleotides) under Mus musculus (house mouse). The record is from RNAcentral. Lineage: Eukaryota; Metazoa; Chordata; Mammalia; Rodentia; Muridae.
UAACAAUACUGGAUGGAUAUUUUAAAGGA